AGAGAGGAAAAUGUGAAGGAGAAACUCUCCCAUUUUUGCCAUGUUCCGGCAGCAAAUAUUAUCACUUUGUAUGAUGUUUCCAAUAUCUGGCGCAUUCCUUUGUUGCUACAUG
Molecule: long non-coding RNA, 112 nt
Organism: Zea mays
Lineage: Eukaryota; Viridiplantae; Streptophyta; Magnoliopsida; Poales; Poaceae
Exons: 2
Source: RefSeq, a predicted model, not a curated record